AGAGUCCGUUGCGGCUGCCGCCCCGACGCCAGCGCAUCCCCGCUCGCCGCGCCCGCCGCCGCGAUGUCUGGGGCCGGCCUAGCCGCCGUGGUGAGCCGCCUGCCCCCGCAGCCUGGCGAGGAGCCGCAGACCCAUGAGACGUUACUAUUUUUAUAACCACUAGACAACGCAGGUUGCCGCAUACUUCUUUAUUUGUGUAGACUUCGCUCUUGCCCUGUUUGAAGAGCCUGAGUUGCUUCCCCUGCCUUUCUUG
Molecule: small RNA, 253 nt
Filed under: Pongo abelii (Sumatran orangutan)
Lineage: Eukaryota; Metazoa; Chordata; Mammalia; Primates; Hominidae
Description: processed transcript
Source: RNAcentral